RNAcentral lists this ribosomal RNA (497 nucleotides) under uncultured bacterium. RNAcentral's name for it is "partial 16S ribosomal RNA". It matches the Rfam family "Bacterial small subunit ribosomal RNA", at positions 28 to 507 of the family's 1533-position model. The record is from RNAcentral.
GAUGAACGCUGGCGGCGUGCCUAAUACAUGCAAGUCGAGCGAACAGACGAGGAGCUUGCUCCUCUGACGUUAGCGGCGGACGGGUGAGUAACACGUGGAUAACCUACCUAUAAGACUGGGAUAACUUCGGGAAACCGGAGCUAAUACCGGAUAAUAUAUUGAACCGCAUGGUUCAAUAGUGAAAGACGGUUUUGCUGUCCCUUAUAGAUGGAUCCGCGCCGCAUUAGCUAGUUGGUAAGGUAACGGCUUACCAAGGCAACGAAGCGUAGCCGACCUGAGAGGGUGAUCGGCCACACUGGAAUUGAGACACGGGCCAGACUCCUACGGGAGGCAGCAGUAGGGAAUCUUCCGCAAUGGGCGAAAGCCUGACGGAGGAACGCCGCGUGAGUGAUGAAGGUCUUCGGAUCGUAAGACUCUGUUAUUAGGGAAGAACAAAUGUGUAAGUAACUAUGCACGUCUUGACGGUACCUAAUCAGAAAGCCACGGCUAACUACGUG